Molecule: ribosomal RNA, 440 nt
Filed under: uncultured bacterium
Lineage: Bacteria
Description: partial 16S ribosomal RNA
Rfam family: Bacterial small subunit ribosomal RNA
Source: RNAcentral
CUACGGGAGGCACCAGUGGGGAAUCUUGCGCAAUGGGCGAGAGCCUGACGCAGCAACGCCGCGUGCGGGAAGAAUGCCCUUUGGGCUGUAAACCGCUUUCAGCAGGAACGAAAAUGACGGUACCUGCAGAAGAAGAAGCGGCCAACUAUGUGCCAGCAGCCGCGGUGAUACAUAGGCGUCGAGCGUUGUCCGGAUUUAUUGGGCGUAAAGAGUUCGUAGGCGGUUAAGUAAGUCGGGUGUGAAGAUUCUGGGAUCAACCCAGAAACGCCACCCGAUACUGCUUGACUUGAGUUCGACAGGGGAGUGGGGAAUUCCUAGUGUAGCGGUGAAAUGCGCAGAUAUUAGGAGGAACACCGGUGGCGAAGGCGCCACUCUGGGUCGACACUGACGCUGAGGAACGAAAGCAUGGGUAGCAAACAGGAUUAGAUACACGGGUAGUC